GACAGAGGUGCCAAGCGUUUAGGCGGAAUCACUGGGCUUAAAGCGUGUGUAGGCGGAUCGUUAAGUACCUUGUGAAAUCCCACGGCUCAACCGUGGAACUGCUGGGUAUACUGGCGGUCUUGAGCCACCUAGGGGCAACUGGAACAAGCGGUGGAGCGGUGAAAUGCGUAGAUAUCGCUUGGAACGCCAACGGUGAAAACAGGUUGCUGGGGGGUGUGCUGACGCUGAGACACGAAAGCCAGGGGAGCGAACGGGG
This 256-nucleotide ribosomal RNA is filed under the name uncultured bacterium. RNAcentral describes it as "partial 16S ribosomal RNA". It matches the Rfam family "Bacterial small subunit ribosomal RNA", at positions 524 to 777 of the family's 1533-position model. The record is from RNAcentral.